AGACCCGAAACCCGGUGAUCUAGCCAUGGGCAGGUUGAAGGUUGGGUAACACUAACUGGAGGACCGAACCGACUAAUGUUGAAAAAUUAGCGGAUGACCUGUGGCUGGGGGUGAAAGGCCAAUCAAACCGGGAGAUAGCUGGUUCUCCCCGAAAGCUAUUUAGGUAGCGCCUCGUGAAUUCAUCUCCGGGGGUAGAGCACUGUUUCGGCUAGGGGGCCAUCCCGGCUUACCAACCCGAUGCAAACUGCGAAUACCGGAGAAUGUUAUCACGGGAGACACACGGCGGGUGCUAACGUCCGUCGUGAAGAGGGAAACAACCCAGACCGCCAGCUAAGGUCCCAAAGUCAUGGUUAAGUGGGAAACGAUGUGGGAAGGCCCAGACAGCCAGGAUGUUGGCUUAGAAGCAGCCAUCAUUUAAAGAAAGCGUAAUAGCUCACUGGUCGAGUCGGCCUGCGCGGAAGAUGUAACGGGGCUAAACCAUGCACCGAAGCUGCGGCAGCGAACGUAUCACUUAAAGCGAUUCAGCGGGUUACGAUUGACGGAGCGAAGCGACGUCAAAGCGUAUACAAAGUCGAGUCGGUUUAAGGAUACGUUCGUUGGGUAGGGGAGCGUUCUGUAAGCCUGUGAAGGUGGCCUGUGAGGGUUGCUGGAGGUAUCAGAAGUGCGAAUGCUGACAUAAGUAACGAUAAAGCGGGUGAAAAGCCCGCUCGCCGGAAGACCAAGGGUUCCUGUCCAACGUUAAUCGGGGCAGGGUGAGUCGACCCCUAAGGCGAGGCCGAAAGGCGUAGUCGAUGGGAAACGGGUUAAUAUUCCCGUACUUGGUGUUACUGCGAAGGGGGGACGGAGAAGGCUAUGUUGGCCGGGCGACGGUUGUCCCGGUUUAAGCGUGUAGGUGUGUGUUCCAGGUAAAUCCGGUUCACUUUAACACUGAGGCGUGACGACGAGGCACUACGGUGCUGAAGCAACAAAUGCCCUGCUUCCAGGAAAAGCCUCUAAGCAUCAGGUAACAUCAAAUCGUACCCCAAACCGACACAGGUGGUCAGGUAGAGAAUACCAAGGCGCUUGAGAGAACUCGGGUGAAGGAACUAGGCAAAAUGGUGCCGUAACU
This 1108-nucleotide ribosomal RNA is filed under the name Salmonella enterica subsp. enterica serovar Derby. RNAcentral describes it as "partial 23S ribosomal RNA". It matches the Rfam family "Bacterial large subunit ribosomal RNA", at positions 711 to 1735 of the family's 2925-position model. Lineage: Bacteria; Pseudomonadati; Pseudomonadota; Gammaproteobacteria; Enterobacterales; Enterobacteriaceae. The record is from RNAcentral. RNAcentral also lists the same sequence under 4 other names.